UUAGUAUGUCUAUAUGUAUGUGAAUGCACAUGUGCCAUGACUCACACAUGUGUAAGUUUUCUUCUUAUGCCUUGCGGGUCCCAGGACUUGAACUCAGGUCCUCAGGUUUGGCAGCAAGUGCCUUUACCCACUGAACUAUCUUGCUGUCCCUGGCUUCUAACUCUCUAGGCAGCCAAGGAUGACUGUGAAUCUUCCCUGCCUCCUUCCAGAGGCCGAGAGUACAGUGCAUGUCACCUGGUCAGGUUUCAGCCAUGCAGGGACUGAACCCAGGGCCAGGCAAGCGCUCUGCCAUCUGAGCUACAUUCAGAGACCUGCAAGACUUCUUUCUCCUGGAGACACCCACCACUCAAAGAAAGCCAGCUUUACCUCUUUAAAUGGGGCGGUUCUCAGGUAUUCUGCUCUUCCUGGGGUGGGGGUAGGAAUCUCUCCUGGGCACUGUUGUGUCUUAAAUAACAGUCAUGCUCGUGCUAACACAUGGCAUCCUGGCUGAGCUCCUGUCAUCAGGCUCUGGGCUUUUUUUGUGUGUCUGUGUGAGUGUUAAGCAAAGCCUUCUUCUUAAUUAACGGGUCCAUCUUAGCAGCCCCCCCUCCUGUGCCGAUCUCCAAUCCUCCUCCAUAUCAUGGGACUUCCUCUGAACUCCCCAAGGAUCAAAGCCUCCUGUCAGCCAAGGAUUGUCACCAAAUCCUAAGGAUCAGGGGCUGAAUACAAGAAAAGUUCAAAGGCUCCUGGCUCAGAUCCUUGGACAAAUGUGCCCCUGGAACAUGCCUCUGAAGUCACUUUAAUCUCUAACUCCAGGGCUUGAGGCUAUGAUCUGACAGCUGCAACCCCACAAAUGCACCUCAGGUUUGGCAGAUGAUGGACCUUGGAAAAACCGGCAUUAAUUGAAUUGACUUCUUUCAAGGUAAGCAUGACAGAAGAACUGCUCCUCUUGUCUUGCUGGAGCUGGAAGGUGGAAAGGAGAGGAAGAGUGGAGACUCCAUACUAGGCACAGGCUCUUCUGAGAUGACAGCAGUAACCAAUGGAGCAGGAUGGAUGUGAAGAGCGAGGGCCGUGGACUCUUAGGAUCUGUGUGUUUCUACUUCCUGAAAAAGCUACACUGAAGUCCUGAAAUCCAGUGCCCCAGAAUGUGACCUUGUUUAGAAACAGGGUCACUGUAAUGGUCACAUCUUUCUAAAUAAGGCCAUAAUGCAGUAGGGUAGACCUAAUGAUGGCUGAUACUGCUUGUCAAUGCGACAGAAUCUACAGUCACUUAGUGUUGCUUGGUUGAUGAGUUGGAGAGGAUAAAGGAAGGUUCGUAGAAGACUGGGGGCUGUGGACUGUGCUACCACUCCAGACAGAGGACCUACUAAGGUCCAAUGGAUUCAGGAACCCCAGCAAUUCUCAUAACUGAGAAUGGGAGGCGUUCUCACGGCCUGGUUCCUGUCCUGGGAAACACAUGACCACCACACCCCAUUGAGAAGACUGUGACAAUCAGUCACAUAGGGGACAACACCUGAUGUCCUUCCACAUACAGAGGAGGUAUCCCUAACAUCUCAGACCAAGCCAAUAGAAAGCACUUGCCUCUAGAUCCCAACCCACCCAACAUGUUUAUAAAGUCCUAGCCACAAGGAAGAAAGUGCAGGAGUUAUUUCGCCAAAGACACCAAAGAUCACCUGAGUGUGCCUGUCUUAUUGUGCCGUAAUGCUCCAGGGAAGUUUUCUCUCCUGAAGCUUUCCUGCCACCUGCCACCAACUCUGGGGCAGUGGGAGCCACGGAAGAGGCCCAACAGCCCACCUUACUCUGGCUUUCCCUCAGAAAUCGAUAACUCUUUGCCAGCUCCAGUUGGUUCAGAGCCCCUCAGACCCCCUCGGACAGCGCCCAGUACACAGACCAGCAAAAGACAACUUAGAAACUUAAGUUACUUUUAAAUCCCAUGACAACUUUUAACUCCAAUGACACUACAAACAACGCCGGACACAAGAUUAAUUCUUAUUAAUUAAAUUAAUAAUUAAAUGCCUGGUCUUUAUUGAGUAUGAACUGUACAGACACUCGUGCCUUCCGGAUAACAAUGUUAAGAGGGAGGCUUCUACCACCAGAGCCUAACACUGGAUGUCAGCUAUGAUGGCACACUCCUGUGAUCCCACUCUGAGGCAGAUGCAGAUCAUCGUGAGUUCUAGGCUAGUUUGGGCUUUAUAGAGGUUCCGUGUGCUGGCUAGUUUUAUGUCAUUGCUUUAACAUAAAAGCAACAGUCAUCAGAGAGAAGGGAGCCUCAGUUGAGAAAAUGCCUCCAUAAGGUUGGGCUGUGCGCAAACCUGUGCAUUAUUUUAAUUAGUGACUGAUGGGGGAGGGGCCAUCCCUGGGCUGGUUAGUCCUGGCUUCCAUAAGAAAGCAGGCUGAGCAAGACAAGUAAGCAAGCCAAUAAGCAACUUUCAUGGCCUCUGCAUUAGCUCCUGCCCCAAGUUCUUGCCCUGACUUCCUUCAAUGAUGAACAGUGAUAUGGAAGUGUAAGUCAAAUAAACCCUUUCUUCAGGAUGUUGCUUUGGUCUUGGUGUUUUAUCACAGCAAUAAAGACUAAGACACCCCAGCUCAAAAAACAAAAGCUACACAUGGUGGUCUUCACAUGUAACCCCUGCACACAAGCGAUGGAAGCAGAGGAUCCUGUUGAAGGCCAUCCUUGGCUACAUAGUGCGUUUUGAGUCAGCCUGGGCUACAAAGGAUCUUGUCUCAAAACAAAACAAAACAAACUGCCAACCAACCAAAUAAACAAAAUCCAACAAAACGGUCCAAUGCUGUACUUGAAACAAAAAGUCACUGCAGGAUGAAAGCUUGCAUCUGAUUCAGAAGUUGACUCAACCAUCAAAUUAAUAAAACCAAACACCUACCCCUGUAGAAACUGCAGGCUUGCUUUAUUUUCAAAUAAAUGACCUGUUGUUAAGAUCUUUCCUUCCCUCCUCCUCCAGGAAGCAAGAUGGUUCAGUGGGUAAGGUACUUGCCUCUAAGCCUGAUGACUGAGUUUGAGCCCCAAGACUUACAUGUUAGCAGGAGAGAAUGAACUCCUGAAAGCUGUCCUAUAACCCCCCCCCCCACACACACACACACACACACGCUGUGGCAUGCACAGCCCCCACAGUAAAUACAUACUAGAAAAUAAUUGUGGGCUGGUGAGAUGGCUCAGUGGGUAAGAGCACCCGACUGCUCCUCCAAAGGUCCAGAGUUCAAAUCCCAGCAACCACAUGGUGGCUCACAACCAUCCACAACAAGAUCUGACGCCCUCUCCUGGAGUGUCUGAAGACAGCUACAGUGUACUUACAUAUAUUAAUAAAAUAAAUCUUUAAAAAAAAAAAAAAAAAAAGAAAA
This is a long non-coding RNA of Mus musculus (house mouse), 3336 nucleotides long. RefSeq annotates it as predicted gene, 34197. NCBI's taxonomy places the organism in Eukaryota, Metazoa, Chordata, Mammalia, Rodentia, Muridae. The record is from RefSeq and is a predicted model, not a curated record. The transcript has 3 exons.